AUGAGUUAAGGUCUUUAAACCUAAAGAAUUGGGCGGUAUUUCAUUCCAUUUAGAGGAACCUAUCUCAUAAUUGAUAAUACACGAUUUAUUUUACUUGAUUUAUUUGUUUGUAUAUCUCCGUUAUCAGAAAAUCUUUAUGGAGUUGAAAUUUUCUUGUUUCUCAUUAGGAAUUAUUUCAGGUCAAGGUGCAGCUUAUAAUCAAGGGUAUGAUGGGUUACAAUAAUUUAAUAUUAUUAUGGAUUUGAUUUUGUAAUAUUUUAAUGAAGGUGGAUUUAAUAGUAAUUUGAAUUAUUUAAUUUGAUUGAUAUUGGCUCUGAGAUGUGUACACUAU
RNAcentral lists this ribosomal RNA (331 nucleotides) under Pternoscirta sauteri. RNAcentral describes it as "partial 12S ribosomal RNA". Lineage: Eukaryota; Metazoa; Arthropoda; Insecta; Orthoptera; Acrididae. The record is from RNAcentral.